CCUGGUGGCUCAGAAGGUAAUGAGUCUGCCUGCAAUGUAGGAGACCCAGGUUCAAUGCCUGCAUUAGGA
This 69-nucleotide transfer RNA is filed under the name Ovis aries (sheep). It matches the Rfam family "tRNA". Rfam says of the family: Transfer RNA (tRNA) molecules are approximately 80 nucleotides in length. The record is from Rfam by way of RNAcentral. Lineage: Eukaryota; Metazoa; Chordata; Mammalia; Artiodactyla; Bovidae.